Onychostoma macrolepis is the source of this 871-nucleotide long non-coding RNA. RefSeq lists it as uncharacterized. The record is from RefSeq and is a predicted model, not a curated record. NCBI's taxonomy places the organism in Eukaryota, Metazoa, Chordata, Actinopteri, Cypriniformes, Cyprinidae. The transcript is spliced from 4 exons.
CUCCAGGACAGGUUUGGGAAGCACUGAUCUAUUUAUUUUUCAUAAUUUUUAUGAAUUAGUUUUUAUAUAUUUUAUAAUGUUAUUUUAGUACAUCAACUUAAAAUUGCCUUUGCAAUUAGCUAAAACAAUAUAAGCUGAAACCUUGGGAGAGGAAAAAUGAUCUGAUUUUCGACUACAUAAAUAUCUGUGCUGCCAGAUGUUCAGUAUCUGUGAUGAUCUAGGCUUUCUAAGUCUUUUCAUCAUAUGGAAUUAUAUGUCACCAAACUCCAAUAUAAAUUAAAUCAUUUUAAUAAAAGCAUGGGGAAUGUGCCACACUCAAGGAAAUUGAGAAAGAUGUUGUCUGAAGUAAUGGAUAAUCCAGAAGAGGAACCAAACGCAAGCAGUCUGUUCUUUGAGCACUCUGGCCUCAAAUGAAGAAUACUGAGAAACUCUGCACAGGCUCGGUGAACCACUGAAUGAUGUGCAGGAAGUUGCUUUACGCUGUCAUUCCACAAAGUCAAGGUGUUGUGAUCAUCGCUGCAUUUCUUUGUCUUGCACAACAAACACUGUCAUUCCACUUUAAAAAGAAUCAAACCAAGGACUCUUUAUUUAUCCCUGCGUUAAAGAAUAACAAAUAUUUACCGUAAAAAAUACAGUAGCAGCGCUUCAAGCAUCACAGGAAGCAUUUUGCUGCCUGUUCUGCAUUUCUUAACUGUAGGCCUGUUUUUCAUUAACCAAUAAUAUUUAUAUACAAGCCUACUUAAACUACUCAAAUCUGCUUUGUACCAUAAAUACUAAUAACCACCAUAAUGACAUGGAGUAAAACAGAAAGCCACAUGAUGAAUUAAAGAUCAUCAUAAUUUCCCUUUCCAUAAACAACUGAUAAUGCUUU